Molecule: unclassified non-coding RNA, 235 nt
Filed under: uncultured Oidiodendron
Lineage: Eukaryota; Fungi; Ascomycota; Leotiomycetes; Myxotrichaceae
Description: sequence contains ITS2
Rfam family: 5.8S ribosomal RNA (bases 1-52)
Source: RNAcentral
AACGCACAUUGCGCCCUGUGGUAUUCCGCAGGGCAUGCCUGUUCGAGCGUCAUUUCAACCCUCAAGCCCUGCUUGGUGUUGGGCCACGCCCUCGCGGCCGGCCCCAAAGCCAGUGGCGGCGCCGUCCGGCUCUAAGCGUAGUACAUCUCUCGCUCUAGGGCCCGGCGGCGGCCGGCCAGAACCCCAAACUCUUAUGGUUGACCUCGGAUCAGGUAGGGAUACCCGCUGAACUUAA